RNAcentral lists this ribosomal RNA (149 nucleotides) under Vibrio cholerae. Its description in RNAcentral is "partial 16S ribosomal RNA". It matches the Rfam family "Bacterial small subunit ribosomal RNA", at positions 1 to 142 of the family's 1533-position model. The record is from RNAcentral. Lineage: Bacteria; Pseudomonadati; Pseudomonadota; Gammaproteobacteria; Vibrionales; Vibrionaceae.
UUAAUUGAAGAGUUUGAUCAUGGCUCAGAUUGAACGCUGGCGGCAGGCCUAACACAUGCAAGUCGAGCGGCAGCACAGAGGAACUUGUUCCUUAGGUGGCGAGCGGCGGACGGGUGAGUAAUGCCUGGGAAAUUGCCCGGUAGAGGGGG